UGGGCGAAAGCCUGAUGGAGCAACGCCGCGUGAGUGAAGAAGGUCUUCGGAUCGUAAAGCUCUGUUGCACGGGACGAAAACUGGGUUUGAAAACAUUGAACCUGGGUGACGGUACCGAGCGAGGAAGCCACGGCUAACUACGUGCCAGCAGCCGCGGUAAUACGUAGGUGGCGAGCGUUGUCCGGAAUUAUUGGGCGUAAAGGGAGCGCAAGCGGACAUAUAAGUCCAUCUUAAAAGUGCGGGGCUCAACCCCGUGAGGGGAUGGAAACUGUAUGCCUUGAGUGCAGGAGAGGAAAGCGGAAUUCCCAGUGUAGCGGUGAAAUGCGUAGAUAUUGGGAGGAACACCAGUGGCGAAGGCGGCUUUCUGGACUGUAACUGACGCUGAGGCUCGAAAGCCAGGGGAGCGAACGGGAUUAGAUACCCCGGUAGUCCUGGCCGUAAACGAUGAAUGCUAGGUGUAGGAGGUAUCGACCCCUCCUGUGCCGGAGUUAACGCAAUAAGCAUUCCGCCUGGGGAGUACGGUCGCAAGACUGAAACCCAAAGGAAUUGACGGGGGCCCGCACAAGCGGUGGAGUAUGUGGUUUAAUUCGACGCCACGCGAAGAACCUUACCAGGGCUUGACAUUGAGUGAAAGAGCUAGAGAUAGCUUCCUCC
Molecule: ribosomal RNA, 654 nt
Filed under: Selenomonas sputigena
Lineage: Bacteria; Bacillati; Bacillota; Negativicutes; Selenomonadales; Selenomonadaceae
Description: bacterial SSU rRNA
Rfam family: Bacterial small subunit ribosomal RNA
Source: RNAcentral